AGCAGCCGCGGUAAUUCCAGCUCCAAUAGCGUAUAUUAAAGUUGCUGCAGUUAAAAAGCUCGUAGUUGAAUUUCGGGACCAAUAUGUCGGUCGUGCCUCGGUACGUACUGGCAUCGUUGGUUUCUCCCUUCUGACGAACCAUGAUGUCAUUUAUUUGGUGUCGUGGGGAAUCAGGACUGUUACUUUGAAAAAAUUAGAGUGUUUAAAGCAGGCUCACGCUUGAAUACAUUAGCAUGGAAUAAUGAAAUAGGACGUUUGAUUCUAUUUUGUUGGUUUCUAGGAUCGACGUAAUGAUUAAUAGGGAUAGUUGGGGGCAUUAGUAUUCAAUUGUCAGAGGUGAAAUUCUUGGAUUUAUUGAAGACUAACUACUGCGAAAGCAUUUGCCGAAGGAUGUUUUCUUUAAUCAAGAACGAAAGUUAGGGUUCAGGACGAUCUGAUACCGUCGUAGUCUUAACCAUAACUAUGCCGACUAAGGGAUCGGAUGAUGU
This 488-nucleotide ribosomal RNA is filed under the name uncultured Glomeromycotina. RNAcentral describes it as "SSU rRNA". It matches the Rfam family "Eukaryotic small subunit ribosomal RNA", at positions 569 to 1064 of the family's 1831-position model. The record is from RNAcentral. Lineage: Eukaryota; Fungi; Glomeromycota.